GUAGGGGUGGCGCAGCGGAGAGGCGCAGUGCUGUAAUUGGCAAAGGACACCGGUUCGACUCCGGUACCCUACUACA
Molecule: transfer RNA, 76 nt
Filed under: Clostridia bacterium
Lineage: Bacteria; Bacillati; Bacillota; Clostridia
Description: tRNA-Leu
Rfam family: tRNA
About the family: Transfer RNA (tRNA) molecules are approximately 80 nucleotides in length. Their secondary structure includes four short double-helical elements and three loops (D, anti-codon, and T loops).
Source: RNAcentral